This 61-nucleotide transfer RNA is filed under the name Hysteromorpha triloba. RNAcentral's name for it is "tRNA-Val". It matches the Rfam family "tRNA". Rfam says of the family: Transfer RNA (tRNA) molecules are approximately 80 nucleotides in length. Their secondary structure includes four short double-helical elements and three loops (D, anti-codon, and T loops). Further hydrogen bonds mediate the characteristic L-shaped molecular structure. tRNAs have two regions of fundamental functional importance: the anti-codon, which is responsible for specific mRNA codon recognition, and the 3' end, to which the tRNAs corresponding amino acid is attached (by aminoacyl-tRNA synthetases). tRNAs cope with the degeneracy of the genetic code in two manners: having more than one tRNA (with a specific anti-codon) for a particular amino acid; and 'wobble' base-pairing, i.e. permitting non-standard base-pairing at the 3rd anti-codon position. Lineage: Eukaryota; Metazoa; Platyhelminthes; Trematoda; Diplostomida; Diplostomidae. The record is from RNAcentral.
GGCAAGGUAGUUUAAUAAAAUGUUUGUUUUACACACAAAAGUUGAAGGUUUUCUAUUGUCA